GAUGAACGCUGGCGGCGUGCCUAAUACAUGCAAGUCGAGCGAACGGACGAGAAGCUUGCUCCUCUGAUGUUAGCGGCGGACGGGUGAGUAACAUGUGGAUAACCUACCUAUAAGACUGGGAUAACUUCGGGAAACCGUAGCUAAUACCGGAUAAUAUUUUGAACCGCAUGGUUCAAAAGUGAAAGACGGUCUUGCUGUCACUUAUAGAUGGAUCCGCGCUGCAUUAGCUAGUUGGUAAGGUAACGGCUUACCAAGGCAACGAUGCAUAGCCGACCUGAGAGGGUGAUCGGCCGCACUGGAACUGAGACACGGACCAGACUCCUACGGGAGGCAGCAGUAGGGAAUCUUCCGCAAUGGGCGAAGGCCUGACGGAGCAACGCCGACUGAGUGAUGAAGGUCUUCGGAUCGUAAAACUCUGUUAUUAAGGAAGAACAUAUGUGUAAGUAACUGUGCACAUCUUGACGGUACCUAAUCAGAAAGCCACGGCUAACUACGUG
This 497-nucleotide ribosomal RNA is filed under the name uncultured bacterium. RNAcentral's name for it is "partial 16S ribosomal RNA". It matches the Rfam family "Bacterial small subunit ribosomal RNA", at positions 28 to 507 of the family's 1533-position model. The record is from RNAcentral.